ACACGACUACAUUAGAUACCCUGUAGUCCUAGCCGUAAACGAUACUCGCUAGGUGUCGGCCACGGUGCGACCGUUGUCGGUGCCGUAGGGAAGCCGUGAAGCGAGCCACCUGGGAAGUACGGCCGCAAGGCUGAAACUUAAAGGAAUUGGCGGGGGAGCACAACAACGGGUGGAGCUUGCGGUUUAAUUGGGUUCAACGCCGGAAAUCUUACCGGGACCGACAGCAACAUGAAGGCCAAGCUGAAGACUUUGCCGGAUUAGCUG
This 264-nucleotide ribosomal RNA is filed under the name uncultured archaeon. Its description in RNAcentral is "partial 16S ribosomal RNA". It matches the Rfam family "Archaeal small subunit ribosomal RNA", at positions 717 to 982 of the family's 1478-position model. The record is from RNAcentral.